AUGAGAGAGUGCCGGGAUGAAUCAAGGAGGAAGCAAAGAGACAAACAAAAUAGCAGGCUGAGAAUUGAAAGAAAUAUUAUGGAAGGGUUGUAUAAAAAAGGAGGGGUGGUUAACGUACCAGAUGAUGAUGAAGAAGAAAUUCAGAUGAAUAUUAGAGAAGCAUUGCGUGACCCGAAUGUCUCUCGCAGAAUUGAAAGGAGAAUUGGCAAGGGGGGUGUGGGUGAUGUGCAUGUUUCUGUUGGUAAAAGGAGUAUCAGCGCCUAUUUUGACAGGCAAUUAUCUAGCAACAAAGUAUCUAUGCAGCCCAAGAUCAGUAGUGCUUUGGAUCCUAAUUCAAGAGAUGCACUUGGUCUAGCAAAGAAGUCGUCUUCUAUAUGA
RNAcentral lists this ribosomal RNA (378 nucleotides) under Triticum aestivum (bread wheat). Its description in RNAcentral is "partial small subunit ribosomal RNA". Lineage: Eukaryota; Viridiplantae; Streptophyta; Magnoliopsida; Poales; Poaceae. The record is from RNAcentral.